RNAcentral lists this ribosomal RNA (492 nucleotides) under uncultured bacterium. RNAcentral's name for it is "partial 16S ribosomal RNA". It matches the Rfam family "Bacterial small subunit ribosomal RNA", at positions 29 to 507 of the family's 1533-position model. The record is from RNAcentral.
AGUGAACGCUGGCGGUAGGCCUAACACAUGCAAGUCGAACGGCAGCACAGUAAGAGCUUGCUCUUACGGGUGGCGAGUGGCGGACAGGUGAGGAAUACAUCGGAAUCUACUUUUUCGUGGGGGAUAACGUAGGGAAACUUACGCUAAUACCGCAUACGACCUACGGGUGAAAGCAGGGGAUCUUCGGACCUUGCGCGAUUGAAUGAGCCGAUGUCGGAUUAGCUAGUUGGCGGGGUAAAGGCCCACCAAGGCGAUGAUCCGUAGCUGGUCUGAGAGGAUGAUCAGCCACACUGGAACUGAGACACGGUCCAGACUCCUACGGGAGGCAGCAGUGGGGAAUAUUGGACAAUGGGCGCAAGCCUGAUCCAGCCAUACCGCGUGGGUGAAGAAGGCCUUCGGGUUGUAAAGCCCUUUUGUUGGGAAAGAAAAGCAGCAGGUUAAUACCCCGCUGUUCUGACGGUACCCAAAGAAUAAGCACCGGCUAACUUCGUG